Molecule: small nuclear RNA, 191 nt
Gene: U2
Rfam family: U2 spliceosomal RNA
About the family: U2 is a small nuclear RNA (snRNA) component of the spliceosome (involved in pre-mRNA splicing). Complementary binding between U2 snRNA (in an area lying towards the 5' end but 3' to hairpin I) and the branchpoint sequence (BPS) of the intron results the bulging out of an unpaired adenosine, on the BPS, which initiates a nucleophilic attack at the intronic 5' splice site, thus starting the first of two transesterification reactions that mediate splicing.
Source: Ensembl
AUCGCUUCUCGGCCUUUUGGCUAAGAUCAAGUGUAGUAUCUGUUCUUAUCAGUUUAAUAUCUGAUACGUCCCCCAGCGGGGGACUACAUAUUAAGCGGAUUUUUAGAACAGGGAGUCGGCAAAGGAGCUUGCUCCAUCCACUCCACGCAUCGACCCAGUAUUGCAGUGCCUCUGGGAGCGGUGCACUUUCU